This 556-nucleotide long non-coding RNA is filed under the name Lathyrus oleraceus (garden pea). RNAcentral's name for it is "Pisum sativum (pea) long non-coding RNA (PSAT_LNC009933)". The record is from RNAcentral. Lineage: Eukaryota; Viridiplantae; Streptophyta; Magnoliopsida; Fabales; Fabaceae.
ACCAGGGGGCAGACUUUGGUCUAGGUCUUAACGCUUCUUACGCGUCCCCUGGCAGCUCCUCCUUGGGCCUAGCUAAUCCAGCCCAUUAGGAGCCUUGGCCCAGCGCUGGGGGCUCACUAUAAAUACCCCUUUCAUGGCAAAGGGGCAGGUAUUCGAACUCACACUCUGAUAACCUCAUUCUGUACCUUUUCUGACUUAAGCAUUGGAGCACCUUGCAGGUACACCCCCCCCUCAUUUCAUUCUCCGGCCCAUUCACCAAGACCAUGGAAGGCCCUCCUGAUCAGGUGAGAUCACUAAUAUAUCCUUGAUCUUUGACACAUUUAAGUAGUUUCUAUUUCUUUAGUUUUGACAAAUCACCAUUUUCGUUUGGACUUAAUACUUCAUUUGUACCAUUUAAAUAAUACUAAAUAGUGGAUUCUGGAACCACUAAUCACAUGACACUCUUAUCCACACACUUCACCACUUAUUCACUUUUCUUCUAGUAAAAAAAAAAACCACCGCAGAAGGUACUCUUAUAACUAUAAUAGGUAAAUGAACAAUUCAAAUUAACUCACCC